Long non-coding RNA from Anguilla rostrata (American eel), 1430 nucleotides. RefSeq lists it as uncharacterized. The record is from RefSeq and is a predicted model, not a curated record. The transcript is spliced from 2 exons. NCBI's taxonomy places the organism in Eukaryota, Metazoa, Chordata, Actinopteri, Anguilliformes, Anguillidae.
CACAUGGUCCAACUCGUGCAGCUCCACAGCUCUCUGCAGGAAACCACAUGCUGACCAGAACUUCAUUCCUUUAUGAAAAUCAAGUGAAAUGCGAGUCUCCACCAGUUCACACCUGUCAGUUCUAAUGCAAUAAAAGACACAAGCUAUGCCUGUGCAAUGCCAGAUCCGGAACCACAGUUGAAAUAGAACUGACCAUUAAUGUGUUGAUCAGUGUGGAGUUCUGCAUGGCAGAUUCUGGGGAUUCAUUUGUAGGACUUACGUGCAAAUUGGACCAGGAUAUGAUGUGCAUUUAGGCACAGAUUCAAUUCAGCCUCAGUGCACUUCAUCUGUAAAAAAAAAAUAUUCAAGCGAGCAUUUGAUUCUUUUGAUUCUUACAGACAUUUUCCUUUUUUCCAGUCACCUGUUCUCUGAAGUUAUUGACCCUCGUUCCUUAAGCAUGCUUUGAUAGCUGAACAGUGACUCUCAGCCUUUCCUGUUGUGUGUACUGAAUUCAUGUGUGUUUCGUGACUCACAUCUUGGGGAGUCGCUCUGGAUAAGAGCGAUAUCAUGAAACACUCUUCCCAGAAGCUACAGAGUGUACAGUCAACUCUCCAAAACUGAAUAACUUCAGUUAUACUUCAGAAUACGUCCAUAGUUCUCUCAAUGUGCCAGCAAGUACAGGAAUCUCCCUGCAGAAUUUGCUCACCAGAUAUACAUUAUGCUUCACUUGCAUGUUUUAACACUAGGUGGCACUGUUUGCCAAGGACAUGCUUUUACGGCCUUUGUGCUGUUGUAUUUUUAUUCACAUUGGCCUUAACGGAGUAUUUUUUUGUGACAGUGCAUUUCAUAAUGUACAGAAUUAUUCCUUAUUGUACAGUAUUAUUCCCAACAUUUUACCCAAAAAGCUGGAUUUUUUUACCUUACCUUCAGUCUUUAAAGUGAAAGCCUCAAGUGCCAUACAUGUGCUGCCCUGAAAUGAAUUAUAACAGAAGAGAAGGGUGUGACGGAGUCUGGCACUGACCAGAACUUUUAAUGACCCAAACUGUCAAAUCAAGUGACAUCCUGCAGCUGGAGUAAAACCUUGUGGAGGUUGAAAGUCUGCUGAUCAGACAGGGGGUGGUGGUGACGGAUGGUACAGUAAUAAAUUGUUUUAACCUAAAAAAAAAACUUCCUGCGCAGAAUUAAAGAAGGCUGUGUGGGCGGAGACCAAGAAUUCUUAGGAAAAAGCUUCAGAUGUUUCAGAAUGAAAACCAGUGGACACAGAGCUCUUAACGCACUGCACAGACCCUUGCCAGGAAAUUGACUACGUUUGCAGAGAUAGCAUGUUCUUUAUAUAAAGAUGUGAAACGUUUGGAGUGCACAAAGUAGUGAGCUAGUGGAACUGUAGUCUCAGACUCGCAUGAAGUGAUGUGGCUCUGAAGUGGCUGAACAGCAGGUCUGUUUUAUGGCUA